Molecule: ribosomal RNA, 254 nt
Filed under: uncultured bacterium
Lineage: Bacteria
Description: partial 16S ribosomal RNA
Rfam family: Bacterial small subunit ribosomal RNA
Source: RNAcentral
UACGGGGGGGAGCAAGCGUUGUUCGGAUUUACUGGGCGUAAAGGGCGCGUAGGCGGCGUGACAAGUCACUUGUGAAAUCUCCGGGCUUAACUCGGAACGGUCAAGUGAUACUGUCGGACUAGAGUACAGAAGGGGCAACUGGAAUUCUCGGUGUAGCGGUGAAAUGCGUUGAUAUCAUCAGGAACACCGGUGGCGAAAGCGGCUUACUGGGUCUCUUCUGACGCUGAGAAACGAAAGCUAGGGGAGCGAAGGGG